UACGUAGGGGGCUAGCGUUGUCCGGAAUCAUUGGGCGUAAAGAGCGUGUAGGCGGCCCGGUAAGUCCGCUGUGAAAGUCGGGGGCUCAACCCUCGGAUGCCGGUGGAUACUGUCGGGCUCGAGUACGGAAGAGGCGAGUGGAAUUCCUGGUGUAGCGGUGAAAUGCGCAGAUAUCAGGAGGAACACCGAUGGCGAAGGCAGGUCACUGGGCCGCAACUGACGCUGAGGAGCGAAAGCGUGGGGAGCGAACAGG
RNAcentral lists this ribosomal RNA (253 nucleotides) under uncultured bacterium. RNAcentral's name for it is "partial 16S ribosomal RNA". It matches the Rfam family "Bacterial small subunit ribosomal RNA", at positions 524 to 776 of the family's 1533-position model. The record is from RNAcentral.